Molecule: small RNA, 211 nt
Filed under: Arabidopsis thaliana (thale cress)
Lineage: Eukaryota; Viridiplantae; Streptophyta; Magnoliopsida; Brassicales; Brassicaceae
Description: ATSL085320
Source: RNAcentral
UCGAUUACACCCUCGAUGGCAAGCUUCAGAGUCUAUUUCAUUCCGCACUCAACCAGACACUCGAGCACAAGGAAGAAAAGAAGACUCCAGCUAUUUACUCGACCUCCCACUCGACCACCUGGGUCGAGUACAGUUCUUAAUCCGUCCCAAUAAAGUAUUAGGGUUUCAGAAUAUUUGGCUAUAAGUAGCAUGUACUUCAUAUUUUCGCAAA